UUCAUUUCCAUCUCCUUCUCCCAAAUAAACUAAACCCUAGAUUCCCUCUCACCCCAUGCCUACUCCGCCUCUCUCCGACGCCGGGAAAUUGCCUUACGGCGGCGGAGCAUCACCAAAUUCACCCUCAACAAUUCUUAGCCUCCCCUUUACACUAUCCUACUAUCAAUUUCCUCUAAAUCACCACUCAAGUAUGUCAAUUCCACAUCUGAAACCCAAACCCUAGUUCACCCAAACUCCUCCAAAUCUACUAAAAAUUACACCCCACAACCACCACCCCCCUAAACUCAAAUCCCUUAUUGAUUUCCCAAGACAACUCCACAAAAUUUCGGAAUUUCAAAUCUAAGAGGCAUUUAGUUUGUUCAAAAAAGCUCUCGAGUUCGCUAUUUCCUCAGUGUUCAAGUUCAAAGGCUUGUUCUCUAAUGCCUUCUUGGAGAUUUAGGCUCUCCUGAGUAUUUUCUUUCAAGGCGAUCCGGUCAAAAUCCAUCCAAGGAUGGAUCCCUUGAAAUAAAAGACCUUUGUUGGUCAAUUAGCGCGGAGAAGGACAUCUUAGGCCAUCUUAUGUUUCUUUUAUUUCAUAAAUGGUAAGGUAUCACCAUUGUCCUCUCCAUUCUCUUCUUUUUAGGCUCGAGUUAGUAAUUUCUUUUUUUAGUUCGUUAAUCUGUUUGUUUUUUUUGAGAGUCGUCCCUGCUUCAAUCCUUGGUCAUGUUGAAAAAUUAGUCUUUAUUAGGGGUUUAUUAACUUGGGUUAAUUCAUCUUCAUUUAGUUUUUUUUUGUUGUUUGGAAUCAUUUGUUAGUAUUCCUAAAUUGCCUAAUUAGUUUGACUCUUCAAUAGUUUGGUUUAAUUAAUGUUUGCCUAAUUAGCGUAGGGUUAGUUUUUAUUUCAUUCAGUGGUCAACUGGGUUCAUUUUAGGGUUUAGGUUUAUUUUUAAAUUUUCAGACAUUUAAAAUUUAAUUACACUGUCCAGAUUUGUUUGCUGUUUGAUUUGUCCAUUGAUAUUAGCUUGCUUGUUUUUGUUUUCCUUAAUUUGUAAGUCACUUGAAACUUAUAGGGUUCAAUUGAACAAAAGGAAACUUAGAGCGGUCAUUUGAGGCGUGGACAAAAGGAAAAUGAGAUAAGAUCAUGUCAGAAGGUUCUAGAAUAUGGGCAGUUGGCCCUAUUUGGCAUGUACAAAAAUACUGAAACCAAUCAGAGGCAGCCAACUGUCCAAUUCUGUUGAAAGAUAUUCUUUGUAGGCUGAAGAGAAUAAUUCCCUUAUCCUUUUCAGCGCAUGGCAUUUUGAUGCAUUCAUUAGAGAUGGAUUAUCGAACCCUAAAAACACUCCAAAAAGGCUUCAGCUACUGUUUCAUUGAUAGCUGGUUUUAUUUUCUUCUGUUUUUUAGAAAAACUUGAAAACUCUCUCUGGGAUUUCUGGUUUUCUGAUUCGAGUCUUUCUUAAGCUAAAGUUGUGUACUGCUGUGAUUUGCAAUUGUCUCCUACUUAUUGCUGAAGUUCUUACUAUACUUUAUUCUUUGCUGUAUCCAAGUACCUCAUGAACUUUGAGUGACAAAAGAUGAAGUUGUAACAUGUUGUUUUGAAAUUUAACUUCAGAUUAUUUUCUUUGCCUAUGAUGUAUUCUAUGUAUUUAGCUUUAUAGUUUCUUUUUAGCUUUGUUUAAG
RNAcentral lists this long non-coding RNA (1656 nucleotides) under Nicotiana tabacum (common tobacco). RNAcentral's name for it is "long non-coding RNA (NTAB_LNC018497)". The record is from RNAcentral. Lineage: Eukaryota; Viridiplantae; Streptophyta; Magnoliopsida; Solanales; Solanaceae.